Molecule: long non-coding RNA, 1772 nt
Organism: Beta vulgaris subsp. vulgaris (sugar beet)
Lineage: Eukaryota; Viridiplantae; Streptophyta; Magnoliopsida; Caryophyllales; Amaranthaceae
Exons: 2
Source: RefSeq, a predicted model, not a curated record
UUACUCUCUUUACUCGUGGGUUCUAGAAUUUUGAAAACUCAAUCCCCUCAUAACUUUCUCUCUCUCACGUGUCCUCUGUUCUCCCUAAACCCCCAAAACUGAAAACCUCAAACCCGAAUAUCUCUCUCUCUCGUCCUACUCGAGCUCCACCGAUGAACGUCCACUAGACUUACGUUGUCGUCGCGUUGCUGCUGCCUGGAGUUUUGUUGCCGACGAACGCUGUUGCCGCUACGUGGUUGAUUUUCUAGUUCGGUCCCUCGCCGGAGACCCGUACAACUCUUCGCAUCCCCUGUUCUCCUCUCUCCGUCGUGGUUGUGUUAUUGUUUGUGUUCGAUGCUGCUUUACAUCACGUCGCCUGUUCACCGUUGACGGACCCUCAUCGCACCACGAACCACCGCGAAUCACCGAAGCUCUCUGCUCCCUUGUUUGUUCCUGCUCUAUUGAGCAGAGGUAUAUUAUUACCUCCUCCUCUUGUUUCUGAUUUCCUAAUUUGUAAAUUAUGCCCAAGUUGUUGUUAUUUGUUGUUGCUGCUCUGUUUUAGUUGUGUAGUUGGGUUAUUCUGUGGUGGUGGUUUAUAGUUAAUGGUUAUCGAAUUAAUGGUUGGUGUUGUCGUGUUGUUGGUUGUUGUUCUGUAAUGGUGGUGGUGGAGUUGUUGUAGUUGUGAGGGUUGCUGGUGUGGUUGUGUGUUGUUGUUAUUGUUAUUGUUGUGGAGUUGUGUGGUGGUUGUGGUGAAGUGUUGUAUUGCUGGUUUUUUGUGGUAGUGUUGUUCCUGUUGUUCGUGGUUGUUGUUGGUGGUGGGUUUCAUUUCUCCUUUGUGCUAUUAUGUUGGUACACUUCUUUCUUCUGCAAACUCUAUUAUGGGUUAGGUAUAACUUGUUUCUAUUUUGUUUUUUCUCAUAUUACUUGCUAGCAAUUUGUGAUGAAGUAAAUUCAUUAGGAGUUUAAUUAUGGAAUAUAGUUUAAUUGAGAGGAGUUGUGGUGGUAAUGUUGUUGGGUGGUUGUUGUCGUUAUUGAUGUUGUGUGGUUGGAGUUAAUAUAUUUGAAGAUAAGUUUAGCAGUUAUAUAGGAUUAGUUAGUUUUUAUUUGCGGGAUUUAGAUUGAUUAGCAUAGUGAUUGUAUUAGAAGAAGUUAAUUAGAUAAGAUAAGAUUGGUUAUUGAUUAUCGUUGUCAUUGUGAGGUGAUUCUUGGAGGAUGAUUUGGGAGUGAAGAAUCAUUCGGGAUUAUGAAGUUGAUUAUGUUGUUGGACCCGAAUUGCGUAUGAGGUAACUUUUAUGUUCAGUAAAAUCAUUUACUCAUGCCCUUGUGUGUGUGUGUGUGUGAAUAUUUGUGUUCUGUUUUCGAUAAAUAAGUUCGUACUAUGGCCAUAGUUAUGAAUAUGAUGUUGUGAGUUGGUUAUAAAAAUAUUAUUUAAUGAGUAUGAAUACGAAAACUGUUUUGCUGGCUUAGUUUAUGAACUGAAAAUAGUAAGUGGGCAAGGUAUGGGUGGAGGAUGGUUACUCUUUUGACCUGAUACAGGUCGGCUACGCUCCAUUGCGAACUUUGGGGGUAGUGUUGCUGGACUCCAUAGCGCAGCUUGAAGGUUUGGUGUCAAGAUCUCGGUAAUGGAAGUGGAGCAAGAAUAGGAUUACGUUUUGUAAAGAAUUGAGUUUGUAUUCUAGUUAGUUGAUUAGAGAACAGUUAUUUAUUAUUCCUUUGUAUAUAACUUUUGGGAAUUAGAGUGGAGUUAUUGGUGUAAUUCAAGUCUUAUAUAAAAGAUUUUGUUUUGUGGGCCA